UUUGCUGAGGUGCACACAGCAAU
This 23-nucleotide unclassified non-coding RNA is filed under the name synthetic construct. The record is from RNAcentral.